Long non-coding RNA from Acipenser ruthenus (sterlet), 356 nucleotides. RefSeq lists it as uncharacterized. The record is from RefSeq and is a predicted model, not a curated record. The transcript has 3 exons. Lineage: Eukaryota; Metazoa; Chordata; Actinopteri; Acipenseriformes; Acipenseridae.
CAGCUAAGAUGCUACAAAUUCAAUGACAAGAUCAAAAUCUUUGAUACAGCAGGAUUUGAAUUGGAGAAAACAGUAAAUACCAUGAUAAUAUUAAAGAAGAUCAUAGAUGGUGAAGUGGCUGAAGGCUCAAAGUUUGAUGAUAUUCUGAAAACAAAAAGCUUAAUGGAAGGAGACAAAAUCCACUGUGUUGUGUUGGUUAUAUCAAUUCAUAGCGCUGAAAAUGUGGACCCAGCCUUGAUUCGGUUUUAUGAAGAAUUAAUUGGAAUGCUCACAGAGACUGGAGUACCAUGCCAGCUGCUUGUUACAUUCAUUGAUAAACUUGUCGAGAAGACUGAGGAUUUGGAAAAUCUGUACAG